ACUGUAGAUUGUCUUUUUUUUACAGAUAGUUGAGCACUGGGAUCUACACUCUGUUCUUCUGACUCUUCAAACAGAUGGCCACUUUCUGUGAGGCUGCAUGUCAUACAAACCUCUAGUUGUACAACCAGGUGAAGACAAUGUAAGGUCACAUGAUUAUAUGGAGAGGAUUGCUGCUUUCUGCAAGACACAGUCAGAUGGAGAUGUUGAAGAAAAAUGUCCAAAGAGAACUUCAUGGGGUGCAUCUGAAAGCACCUCUUCAAGAUCAUGGCAAUUUCAGGUAUACAAAUGUAGGCAGUGCCGGACGCCUGGAGUGUGCUGAUGUCCAAUCAAGUGUUCAUCCAACCCAGACAUGGAGCAGGUGGUGAUCCUCACCCUGUCUGGCAGGGAUGUCCAUCAAGGCCUGGACCUGCUACACAUGCUCCUGAAAGGCGAUGCAGCUGAUACUUUACUCACACUACCAAUUCUCAAACCACAUUAUACUGUUAUUCUACCUGCUGUUCAGCCAUCGUUCUGACUCACAAAUGACCCUGACUUGACUUCCUCACUGCUCGGUUUCUCAGGCGAUGUCAGGGACGAUGGAUUUGAGCUGCUGGCUCUGAAAGGGCUAACCACGCUGUCAAGUCGGCAGGCGCGGGACGUCAACCCCUGUGAGGUUGAUGAUUACAGCUUACAGCUCGUAGAGAAAAGAAAAUCCAGUAUCCCAAAAUAUUAGAAUAAAAAAUGUAUCAUACGUUGUUCGUUCAGUUAUUCUGUGCCGUUGUGCUUUCCAACCGGAGUGCUCUGAACUGGAAAUAGAUUUGCCCGAGUAAAUUUGUAAAUGUACUCCUGUCUCUACCAGGCCAGUGUAUAGAUUGUUUUAAAUGCUGCAUUUUUAGCGCCUUUUCCCUGUUUUUCCCUAGGAUGUCUCUAAUCUGGAGGCCUGUGUCUGGUAGAUGUGGGCCCUCAAUUGGCUCUUGGCUUGCAGAUAACACUGUGAAGAGGCUACUAGACUUGCUGGGUCCUGAGGACCCUGCCCAUGCGCAGAACCAGUUUCUCUGAAGAGCAUGUUACCAAUCUGACCAGCUACACUGUGGUAUGUAUGGUCAAGUGAGUGCCCUCGACCCAGCACCACACUGGGCCAUCUUCCAGGCCCUGCCAACAACACGGAUCAAUGAAUUACAGAGUGGCUGAGACUGGCUUCGGAAGAAGAUUUUAUCAUGUUUUGGAGAUGUAAAUAGCUCAUAAUUAUUUACUUCUGCGGUGUAAGAUCGAGGAGCUAUCAGAGAGCUGGUCAGGAUGUGAAACGGUUGUUCCCUGAGGGUUUAUGCUGCAAAAAGACCAUGAGAGAGGAGCAGCUGCUUCACAGACAAUACCUUGUCUCAUUUGCUUUCUGCUUAUUUAGAAAUAACUGUCUGUGUGACUUACUGUUCUAUAAGACAGAUACCAAGUGUACGAGCAGAUCCUUUGGCAUAUUUGAUCGGUGAACAGACCUUUCUUUCGCAAGCAAAUGUAAGCCACUUUUAUCAUAACUGGAUUGAAUUAAGGUGAGGACUAGCACCUGUUUAACAUUGUAGUCUUCCUGAGUUUUUAAAUGGCUUAUUCCCUACUUUUAUAUUGAUACAAAACACCCCCUAAACAUUGACUUUUUAUUAGGACAAUGCCGAUUGGUGUGGGGCAGCUGUUGCUGAGCUUUGAACUUUGUAAAUGUGGCUGUUUGUGUGGGUGGCAACAGGGCCCUUGGUCCACAGUGCUCUCUGCCAGACCACCUGCCUGCUGCUGCCUUCCAAUGUGCUGCAUCUUUGCCCUGCCCUG
Molecule: long non-coding RNA, 1791 nt
Organism: Esox lucius (northern pike)
Lineage: Eukaryota; Metazoa; Chordata; Actinopteri; Esociformes; Esocidae
Exons: 3
Source: RefSeq, a predicted model, not a curated record